GUGUGAAUGCUCUGUCAAAACAAUAGCAUGUCAGAAUGAUGUCAAGCGCGACACAUAGAGUACGCCAGUGAGGCGCACGGAUGUACAUGUGAGGUAAGGAGGAAAAUGUUCAAUGUAAAAUCAAUUUAUAUUAUGAUUUUUGCAUUCCGUUCUUACAAAUUAAAAUCUUAUAAAUACUCGGCCAUGGCUAAGAAAGCUCUUUUCUGUCUCAACCAGCGGACGAAAUAGUAGUGCGCGUCGUGAUUAGCGAAAUUAAUUAAAAAAAGUACGGUUAGUGUUCCUUAAAAGCUAUUAGUACGGGCAGUAGUACGUAGAAGCAAUAUUCGUAAAGAAUUAGAAGAUAUAGUACGUCUAUUUCGCCCAUAAUGUGCCCGAUGUAAAUGAAAACGGGUCGAAAAGAUUAAGUGCUGUGAUAAGAGAAAGGUCCAUAAAGGGCCUUUCUCUUUAUUUUCUUUUCUUCGGCACAAGUUCCGGCUAGCCGCUGGACCGACAAAGCUUCGCUAGAUGCGCACGUCUAUCCGCAAAGUCAUGGAUGAGCAGAAAAGGAAGACAUUCGAGAGACCCCCCCCCCCACUUCGGGCAGCAUACGUCGGAGAACGGUGAGUCAGCCAUCUUGGAAGGCCUUUCUAUGCGGGAAGCCGCCUGUCUCCGUGUCGAGUCGGGAAGCAUCGAUAACUGCCCCGAACUUCCGACGAAAGUAUCACCAGGCCACUACGAACCACCCACCGACAUCAGAAUACGCCACCGGAAUCAACAGCAACGCCAUCUGUCAACUGCCACCUACAAGCCAAAACCACUACGGAUCCGGAUCCCAACCAACAAUAUACGCAAGUACCCUAUGUGACGUCAGACGGUAGGAGAAGAGGUGUCCAAAAUGGACAAUUUGUUAAUAAAUAGUUUGUAAUUGGAACUUAGUGGUGCCGUCUACUUUUAUUAGAGCGCAGCCCUGAAUUAUUUAGUUUGCACUUCUUAUUGUUUUUCGUUGUCCGUGUUCAAAAGGGAACAUUCAAGCCUCGUCUUCCUCUGGUGAAUAUAAAAUUGCUUUCUUACGGCUUUUGAGCACCCUUGUUGUAAGGCUUUAUUUGUAUGUCCGUCGUUCUCGUGCAAACUCCUCAAGCAAGUGUUGUUUUAUCAUUGUGUUCCCCGUGCCAAUGAGCCUCACCAAGGAACUGAAUGAGAUUGGAAAGAUGCUGCUCAAACGACCCUGUGAUUCCUUCCCAUCCGGU
Armigeres subalbatus is the source of this 1226-nucleotide long non-coding RNA. RefSeq lists it as uncharacterized. The transcript has 3 exons. Lineage: Eukaryota; Metazoa; Arthropoda; Insecta; Diptera; Culicidae. The record is from RefSeq and is a predicted model, not a curated record.